RNAcentral lists this ribosomal RNA (494 nucleotides) under Cyprinus carpio (common carp). Its description in RNAcentral is "partial 16S ribosomal RNA". It matches the Rfam family "Bacterial large subunit ribosomal RNA", at positions 1922 to 2565 of the family's 2925-position model. Lineage: Eukaryota; Metazoa; Chordata; Actinopteri; Cypriniformes; Cyprinidae. The record is from RNAcentral.
GUUCAACGGCCGCGGUAUUUUGACCGUGCAAAGGUAGCGCAAUCACUUGUCUUUUAAAUAGAGACCUGUAUGAAUGGCUAAACGAGGGCUUAACUGUCUCCCCUUUCAAGUCAGUGAAAUUGAUCUACCCGUGCAGAGGCGGGUAUAAUACUACAAGACGAGAAGACCCUUUGGAGCUUAAGGUACAAAACUCAACCACGUUAAGCAACUCAAUAAAAAGCAAAAACCUUGUGGACCAUGAGAUUUUACCUUCGGUUGGGGCGGCCACGGAGGAAAGAAAAGCCUCCAGGUGGACUGGGAAAACCUCCUAAAACCAAGAGAGACAUCUCUAAGCCACAGAACAUCUGACCAAAUAUGAUCCGGCUAACACAUAGCCGAUCAACGAACCAAGUUACCCUAGGGAUAACAGCGCAAUCCUCUCCCAGAGUCCAUAUCGACGAGGGGGUUUACGACCUCGAUGUUGGAUCAGGACAUCCUAAUGGUGCAGCCGCUAU